AGCGAACGCUGGCGGCGUGCUUAACACAUGCAAGUCGAACGUGAAAUGUAGCAAUACAGAGUAAAGUGGCGUACGGGUGAGUAACACGUGGGUAAUCUACCUUAGAGUCUAGAAUAACCGGCCGAAAGGCUGGCUAAUACUAGAUAGUUCAAGCGCACUGUAGAGGUGUGAUUGGGAAAGGGAGCUCGCAAGAGCCUUUGCUUUAAGAUGAGCCCGCGUCUGAUUAGCUAGUUGGUAAGGUAAUGGCUUACCAAGGCGAUGAUCAGUAGCUGGUCUGAGAGGAUGAUCAGCCACACUGGGACUGAGAUACGGCCCAGACUCCUACGGGAGGCAGCAGUGGGGAAUAUUGGACAAUGGGGGCAACCCUGAUCCAGCCAUGCCGCGUGAGUGAUGAAGGCCCUAGGGUUGUAAAGCUCUUUUGUGCGGGAAGAUAAUGACGGUACCGCAAGAAUAAGCCCCGGCUAACUUCGUGCCAGCAGCCGCGGUAAUC
This 490-nucleotide ribosomal RNA is filed under the name uncultured bacterium. Its description in RNAcentral is "bacterial SSU rRNA". It matches the Rfam family "Bacterial small subunit ribosomal RNA", at positions 29 to 525 of the family's 1533-position model. The record is from RNAcentral.